RNAcentral lists this ribosomal RNA (452 nucleotides) under uncultured bacterium. RNAcentral's name for it is "bacterial SSU rRNA". It matches the Rfam family "Bacterial small subunit ribosomal RNA", at positions 16 to 471 of the family's 1533-position model. The record is from RNAcentral.
AUCCUGGCUCAGAUUGAACGCUGGCGGCAUGCUUUACACAUGCAAGUCGAACGGCAGCACGGGUGCUUGCACCUGGUGGCGAGUGGCGGACGGGUGAGUAAUGCAUCGGAACGUGUCCUGAAGUGGGGGAUAACGCAUCGAAAGAUGUGCUAAUACCGCAUAAUCUCUAAGGAGAAAAGUAGGGGAUCGAAAGACCUUAUGCUUUUGGAGCGGCCGAUGUCUGAUUAGCUAGUUGGUAAGGUAAUGGCUUACCAAGGCGACGAUCAGUAGUUGGUCUGAGAGGACGGCCAGCCACACUGGGACUGAGACACGGCCCAGACUCCUACGGGAGGCAGCAGUGGGGAAUUUUGGACAAUGGGCGCAAGCCUGAUCCAGCAAUGCCGCGUGAGUGAAGAAGGCCUCGGUGUAAGCUCUUCAGUUGAAAGAAAAAACUAAGUAACUAAUACUUAUAG